This 220-nucleotide ribosomal RNA is filed under the name uncultured bacterium. Its description in RNAcentral is "partial 16S ribosomal RNA". It matches the Rfam family "Bacterial small subunit ribosomal RNA", at positions 114 to 334 of the family's 1533-position model. The record is from RNAcentral.
CGCGUAUCCAACCUGCCCAUCACUUGGGGAUAACCUUGCGAAAGUAAGACUAAUACCCAAUGAUAUCUCUAGAAGACAUCUGAAGGAGAUUAAAGAUUUAUCGGUGAUGGAUGGGGAUGCGUCUGAUUAGCUUGUUGGCGGGGUAACGGCCCACCAAGGCGACGAUCAGUAGGGGUUCUGAGAGGAAGGUCCCCCACAUUGGAACUGAGACACGGUCCAA